GACGAACGCUGGCGGCGUGCUUAACACAUGCAAGUCGAACGGAAAGGCCCUGCUUUUGUGGGGUGCUCGAGUGGCGAACGGGUGAGUAACACGUGAGUAACCUGCCCUUGACUUUGGGAUAACUUCAGGAAACUGGGGCUAAUACCGGAUAGGAGCUCCUGCUGCAUGGUGGGGGUUGGAAAGUUUCGGCGGUUGGGGAUGGACUCGCGGCUUAUCAGCUUGUUGGUGGGGUAGUGACUUACCAAGGCUUUGACGGGUAGCCGGCCUGAGAGGGUGACCGGCCACAUUGGGACUGAGAGACGGCCCAGACUCCUACGGGAGGCAGCAGUGGGGAAUAUUGCACAAUGGGCGGAAGCCUGACGCAGCAACGCCGCGUGCGGGAUGACGGCCUUCGGGUUGUAAACCGCUUUCGCCUGUGACGAAGCGUGAGUGACGGUAAUGGGUAAAGAAGCACCGGCUAACUACGUG
This 468-nucleotide ribosomal RNA is filed under the name uncultured bacterium. RNAcentral's name for it is "partial 16S ribosomal RNA". It matches the Rfam family "Bacterial small subunit ribosomal RNA", at positions 28 to 507 of the family's 1533-position model. The record is from RNAcentral.